This 432-nucleotide ribosomal RNA is filed under the name uncultured bacterium. RNAcentral describes it as "partial 16S ribosomal RNA". It matches the Rfam family "Bacterial small subunit ribosomal RNA", at positions 338 to 795 of the family's 1533-position model. The record is from RNAcentral.
CCUACGGGUGGCAGCAGUGGGGAAUCUUGCACAAUGGAGGAAACUCUGAUGCAGCGACGCCGCGUGAGCGAUGAAGCCCCUCGGGGUGUAAAGCUCUUUCGGCAGGAACGCGGUACCUGCAGAAGAAGCUGCGGCUAACUACGUGCCAGCAGCCGCGGUAAUACGUAGGCAGCAAGCGUUGUUCGGAAUUACUGGGCGUAAAGAGUGUGUAGGCGGUGUUCUAAGUUCGGUGUGAAAUCUCCCGGCUCAACUGGGAGGGUGCGCCGAAAACUGGGAUGCUCGAGCGUGGGAGAGGAAAGCGGAAUUCCUGGUGUAGCGGUGAAAUGCGUAGAUAUCAGGAGGAACACCAGCGGUGUAGACGGCUUUCUGGACCAUGCUGACGCUGAGACACGAAAGCGUGGGUAGCAAACAGGAUUAGAUACCCUUGUAGUC